This 484-nucleotide ribosomal RNA is filed under the name uncultured bacterium. Its description in RNAcentral is "partial 16S ribosomal RNA". It matches the Rfam family "Bacterial small subunit ribosomal RNA", at positions 30 to 507 of the family's 1533-position model. The record is from RNAcentral.
AUUGAACGCUAGCGGGAUGCUUUACACAUGCAAGUCGAACGGCAGCGCGGACUUCGGUCUGGCGGCGAGUGGCGAACGGGUGAGUAAUGUAUCGGAACGUGCCCAGUAGCGGGGGAUAACUACGCGAAAGCGUAGCUAAUACCGCAUACGCCCUGCGGGGGAAAGCAGGGGAUCGUAAGACCUUGCACUAUUGGAGCGGCCGAUAUCGGAUUAGCUAGUUGGUGAGGUAACGGCUCACCAAGGCGACGAUCCGUAGCUGGUUUGAGAGGACGACCAGCCACACUGGGACUGAGACACGGCCCAGACUCCUACGGGAGGCAGCAGUGGGGAAUUUUGGACAAUGGGGGCAACCCUGAUCCAGCCAUCCCGCGUGUGCGAUGAAGGCCUUCGGGUUGUAAAGCACUUUUGGCAGGAAAGAAACGUCGCGGGCUAAUACCCCGUGGAACUGACGGUACCUGCAGAAUAAGCACCGGCUAACCACGUG